ACAUAUAAAGGGCGGAGGAGGCAGAGAUGUGACGAAGAAAGACGGAGGAGUAAAAGUAGUCAGAAAGAAGGCAAGAAAGCCAAAGUUCUUGGGGUUGUUGUUACCGUUGCUUCAACUUGCUGUUCUUGUUAAAGCUGUUACAGUUGCCGCUACUAACAUUGUUGUUGUUACUGUUUACUGCUGCUGCUGUUUUUUUUCCCUCUCACAUCUCCCUCAUGUAUUCCUCCGAGUUUGAGCUGAAGUUUUCUUUGCCUUUCUUUUCGCUUUACUUUUUACCCUUUCACUUAGUUCUUAUUACCUUUUUACGAAGCCUCUCCUAACUAUUGAACUUACUUCAUUUCUUCUUGCCUUUCUCAAUCAGGCAUCCUUACUACUUACUGUUGCUACAAGUAUGUUAUUGUUAUCAUCAUCAUCAUCAUAUUUAGUAUUGUUAUUACUACCAUUAUUUCCAUGCUGAUAUUUUGGAGGAAGAUUUAAAAAAAACAGAAAGAAAACAACAGGAGAGAAGAAAGAAAAUACAAAACAGAACACGUGUAACAAGUGCGAAUAUUUUUUCAUUUUUAAAAUUCAACCUUUAAUAUUUUUUCGUAUACUAAUCUUGCUCUCAGACUUUCUUCUCUUGCUUUUCAAUUCUUUACAAACAUACGCACCCACUCACAUAUACAGAAUUCAAUACCUACCUCUUAGGAUUUUCUUCUAUUUCCACUUCGGUAAAGUUGUUUAAACGUUGCCUAUUUUCCAUCCAGUAGUCACUCUCCUCAGUUCCAUAUACUAAUAUUAUUAUAUAUGUCUAUACCUAUAUACACUUUAGAUAUUUGGUAGUAAGUUUGGGGUUUUUGACAAUGAUCCGAAAGGAAUCAACAAUAUUUAUAAAGAAGCCAAAGCGCCAUGCAUUAACAAUAUACAACUUUCAAACAAUUUCUAUUUAAUGCAAACUGUUCAACAAUCAGAGAAGCUGCUUGAAUGUACAUACAAAUAUAACCACAAACACACACUUAAAUCAUUCAUCAAAUCGUUCUAAAAAACUAACAAACAAUAAAAACGAAACUAUAAACAACAAACAAAAACGACCAUGCCUUAUCAUACUUUCUCAUUUCAAUAUAUUCAUGGGAUUUCUACAUAAACACUUAUUGGACAUACAUUAACAAAGCAUGGUAAGUAAAAUUUUGUUAUAUUAAUCCGUUUUUAACUAAUUGUUAUUGCAUGUAUGUAAAUGUAUAUAUGUAUGUGGACACAUGUUACCCGCUUUAUGUAUAUAUAAGAUAGUCAUGGAACAGUUUUGUUAUUGCUAAAUGUUCUGUAUUUUAGUUCAAUAUAUCAAUAUAUAUAUAUAUAUUUGCAUGAACGAGCGAUCGAUCUAUUAUCAGUUAGUCCUCUACUAGGUCUUCAUAGUUUGGCAUCACAUCUUAAAAAAAUAUCCCUUUCUUUUGCCAAGUAUUAUCACGUGUGGCGAGAAACUAGAGUGGAGUGAUUGUAAACAUUUAGUCCCGCCGGUCCGGUCACUUCACUUUUUAACAUAUCUCAAUUGGGUCACAGUCCCUAAAGGGUUGAUGCCCCUAAUUAGACACCCGGCAUAACAUAACUAAAGGUCUCUAGAAGCGCACGUACGCAUGCAUGUAUGUAUGUAGAUGUGUGUGUUAUGAUAUGAAUGUUCAUUGAAAGUUCUAAAAAAGUUCUUUGUUGAUUUAUUAUUAAACCAAGGAAUGUGUCGUCAUGCUUGGGAAACAUUCAACAAGAUUGCUUCAGUUUGAUGUAAAUAAUUAUUCUCUAAUAGAAAUUACAUUGGUGCUUGUAGUACUCUUUUAUGUGGGGAUGAUGCUCGGGAAAUGAGAAGUAGGUAACUUCUUAUGACAAACCCUUAUAAUUAUAUAAACUACUCUUUUUUUCUUCGAUUCUUAACAUGAAGCAAACAUUUUUGAGAUACUUAUACAUAUUCUUGUAUAUACCCAAAUAUACUAUUAUCACAGCAUAGAGAAAAUGCUGUUUUCAUCCUAUUUGUUUUGCCUCCGUGUAUUUAAUCUAGUAUCUUUCUUUCUUUUUACUGGCUUCUAUUAAACCUUGAAAAGUUAUCAUGUUAAUUAUCUCAAACUAAGAAAAUUGCAAAUGUAAACUUAACUGCCAAAUAAGAAUCGAUGCAAGAUUUUCUUAAUUCUCCCAAACCAUUUCCUUUGUAGGCAACCAAAAGUGUAGUGGUGCUGACCUGCCCUAAUUUUUUUCUCCAAAAGAGGAACUGGGACCCCACUAUCGACAUGAAAUAAUAACAAUAGUAAAUAAGUGAAUUGUUGAAGUAAUGUUUUCUUUAUAGUUUCUAGUUAUUUAUAAAAUAGCCUCCAAAAAUACUUCUUCGAACGGAAAUUUUCUCAAAAUCUCUGUAAAUCUUUUGUUCAAACUUUAAAUAUAUAUAAAGCAACAUGCUUUUCCCCUUUCGUAUUGAAAGCUAACCUCCCGAAAAGAAAUAAAUUUAAUCAGAAAUGACAUUUUCAAGGUUUAUUUUAUUUAAUCUCUUCCAUCACUGGAGGAUAUCACUGUCUAGACGUCACUCUUCAAAACCUAGUUUGUCUCUUUUUAUAUCUAUCUUACUGAAAACAGUUAUUUUGGCUGUCUCUUAUCUAUUUUCUUAUCAGUCUGUUGAUUUCUUAUCAAAAUAAAGUGAUGUCUUUAUUGAUCAACCGAUCGAUGUCCCAAUCUGUCAUCCGUCAUAUUUACCUCUUAGUGUCAACAAACUAAAUACCUGUAAGAUAUUAGGAUCAAAUAAAGUUCACUCAUACAUUCUCAAUACAAAACCAAUUCUUACAUAAAUUAUGACAUAUUAAUAACAUGCCUCCUUAAUAAUUUCUUUUUAAUUUCUUGUAUAGUCUGAAAAAUCCCAAGUAACAAAAGUGAAAGAGAAAACUUGUUUAUAUUAUACUCAUUUAGCUAAUUUAUUUACAAGUUUAAAUGAAAUUUUUAGAUAUUCUUGUAUUCAAUCAUUGGUCUUCAUUUUCCUCUUAAGAGAAACACGAGUAUCACAACUUCUCCCUUCGUCUUCAUUAUAAGUAGUUAUUGCUUAUGUAAAAAUAAUGAUGAUAAGAAAAAGGAAAAAAUAUCCACAAAAUAUCUUCAAUUUGAUAAUGGUCACGUCCGAAGCUUACUCAAAUUCCGUAACAUGGGACUCAGUAUUUCAUUUCAUUUAAGAAAGAGUUGAAGUCUUUUCAUGGGGUAAAGUAAAAUGAGUGGGGGAAAAAAAUGAUUUCUAAUAGGGUAGGUCGAAAUCAGGUUGUGAACAAAAAGUUAGG
This 3275-nucleotide long non-coding RNA is filed under the name Octopus vulgaris (common octopus). The record is from RNAcentral. Lineage: Eukaryota; Metazoa; Mollusca; Cephalopoda; Octopoda; Octopodidae.